RNAcentral lists this long non-coding RNA (405 nucleotides) under Gopherus agassizii (Agassiz's desert tortoise). RNAcentral describes it as "lncRNA (ENSGAGG00000018252.1)". The record is from RNAcentral. Lineage: Eukaryota; Metazoa; Chordata; Testudines; Testudinidae.
CGGGCAGGGGAUAUAACUAGGCGGGGCGCUCAGAAGCGCCUCUGGGCGCGGGAGAGGAAGUGCUCCCAGCCGCCUGCGAGGGGCGGCAGUUCUCACUCCCCCGGCGCUGGGAGGAGGCUGGAGGAAGUUUAUCUCCGCUGAUACUAGCCCGGCCGGCUCAGCUCGUAGCUCAGCAGCAGCAGCAGCAGCAGCAGCACCUCGCGUUGCUCCUGAGCCACUGGCCGCUCGCUCCAGAUCUUUCCUGAAAGAAGCUCCAGGGUCCCAUCACUACUCAUUCUUCAGUAUGUUUAAGGGGCUUUUUCUCCAGUGUCCAGUGCAUAUAUGCACACUUUUGAGAAAUGAGAACAGAUGACUCUGAAGCUGUUGAAGUGGGUUGGAGACCAUGAGUACAAAGAAACUUUUUUU